AAACCUAAAUCAAUAAUUGACAACAUCAGGUUAAUAAGACAGUACUUUGCAAAACCGAACUCAUAAUUUCAGAAACCAUGUCUUUCAAGUGUCAGUCUACAGAGCAUGCAUCUCUCCUAAGGUUAUUCAGUUCAAUAUGAGCAUCAUUAAUGGAAUAAAUAAAUAAAUAAUAAAUAUAGAAUAUGAUAGACAGCAUCCAUGAGCAUAAGAUACAUGCUGCAAGAUCCAAUACAUUACCAAAAUGACCAAAGCAUAAUGUCAAUCAUAGACAGGACCGAUUCAACCUAAGCUAUCAACACGCUGCAUCAUCCAGGCCAGUAGCAGAGAUUAUUACGAUGUGUGCAACAUAUGCACAUGAAAAAUUCCAGUGAGGCUAUGACACUAUGAAAUGCCAAUGCUGUGAAUGUGUCACGUAUAUCAACAGAACUUAAUACACCUAUAUUAAACCAACAUUUCUACGUUUGCCCCAUUUUUGCAAUGCCAAACACCACCAGCUGAAUCUAAAACCGCCGCUUUAUGAUGUUAUGUCAUGCUAGAGGCACGACCGAGUUAUGAUGAGCCGAAAACUUAAUAAUUAAAGCUCAGUUCAUUCAAAUUACAAGAGCUGAAGCUCAGCUUUAGUAAUAAUAAUAACAAUAACAAAGAUAGAACAAAGGCUUCAUUAAGUGCUACCAAUAAGUUCUAUCCUCAUCUUAUGGAUAUGGAGGCCAAGCCAAUAAGUUCUAAGACUUAAAAAAUAAAAAAUUGUAACUGAUUUGAAAUUUUUUUAUUACAUUAUCAUAGUUUGCUCAUUAACUGUAAUGAGUAAUAACACAGAACACUCCCCUAAAACUUAAGUAGGAGUCCAGUUACUUCAGUGAUAUAUGCAAUGCCUUAGACGCCUUAGACCCUCCUAGUUUUGUACUACAAAUGAUUUCUUUGUGCAUAUGGAGUUCGCAAUCCCUUUUGCUCUUGAAUGCUAUUAUUCUCUUUGCUGUUUUUCUUCUUCUUUCAUUUCUUUUCUUUUUCUCUUUCUUUAUUCUCUUUUAUUUUCUUUUCUUUUUUGGGGAGGUGGUGUUAGAAGUUAAAAAAUGCCUUAUUGCAUCACUACAGGCUCAGUUCAUUUGCAUCCAGAAUCAAACAUCAUUUCCAAAUCAAACAACAACUUUCAAAUAUUAUCAUCUUAUAUUUUCUCCAACUUCACAUUAAUCUUCCAAAGCUAUAGUGCUAAUAUUGAACUAAACCACUUACUAAUUAGUUCAAAAUAAAGCAUAUGACUGGUGAAAUAUGAACAGUUACAAACCUUUCCAGACUCCAAAACAAAUGCAGCAUGAUUGUGGGAGGCUGAGACUUGAACCACAUGAGCCAAA
Molecule: unclassified non-coding RNA, 1349 nt
Filed under: Hevea brasiliensis (rubber tree)
Lineage: Eukaryota; Viridiplantae; Streptophyta; Magnoliopsida; Malpighiales; Euphorbiaceae
Source: RNAcentral